RNAcentral lists this long non-coding RNA (325 nucleotides) under Homo sapiens (human). Its description in RNAcentral is "HSALNT0044624". Lineage: Eukaryota; Metazoa; Chordata; Mammalia; Primates; Hominidae. The record is from RNAcentral.
AUUAAGAACCUGAUUUUGUAGUUUUUGCUUAGUGCACAGGCUGGGUUGUCCCCUCGUGGCCCUUAUGAUGCAGGAGAGAGAGGAAAAUUCUUCGAGAGAGACACUGGAGAAAGCAAGAGAGGAUGAGCAGAUAUUUGGGCAGAUUAUCUUGUGGGAAGAACAAUCAAAUGCAAAGGUCUUAAUAGGAUUUAAAACCACGAGACUGAAUGAGAUCACCAAGAAAGUAAGUGUAGAUGGAGAAAAGAAGACCAAGGACUGAGGUAGAAGCACUCUGAUACUUAGCAUUUAGGGACAUCACGGGACACCAACAAAGGAAAUUGAGAAA